Molecule: long non-coding RNA, 7946 nt
Organism: Alnus glutinosa
Lineage: Eukaryota; Viridiplantae; Streptophyta; Magnoliopsida; Fagales; Betulaceae
Exons: 3
Source: RefSeq, a predicted model, not a curated record
UCUCUGUUUUGUCGUACUAUAACGUGACUAUUUCGGCAACAAAACUAAAUACUAGGUGGUCUCAAACCCUAAACGCAACUCGGCUGAUGGGAAAAGACAGAGAGCCAAGAGUUUAUUUUGCUAAACUCAGAAAGGGAAAAGACAGAGCAAAGAGUCCUGCGCAUUUCACAUUGUUUAUGCAAUUCCCUCAGGCCAUGAUUCUGUAAACUCCGUAAUUUUCUUGUCAAUGGUCUUCGGAUCUAAUGGCAUUUCCUCUUCACAGGCUGGAAGGAAAAGUCACGAGUUCAAUUUUGCACGAAUCCAUUAGUUGUGCUUUCUUAAAAAGAGAAGAAGAACAACCCUGUAUCGUGCAAGCCUGCAGGACCAUCUACCACAUAUGCUGGACAAUUUCUUAGAAGAUCAGCUCAUGUAUAUGGACCUCAAAGAUGGUACCUUUGAAUCAUUUGCAGUGGGUUAGCACUUGUCUGAAGAUCAGGACAGUCAGCAAGAUUCUGCUGCAUGACAAGACAAAAACUGAAUAAGAGAGAAAUUUCAUAAAAUUAACCAUCAAAUAUACUAGGAUGAGAUUUAGAAGUUAAUAACCAUAGAUGAUAAGUAAACUCAUGUAACACAAGCAGCAUUGACAAUGCCAUGUUCCUUUCCCCAUCUGAUUUAUUAGGUUAGUACCAUAUCCAGUUCUGUCCUCACAUGAGGCAUAAUGUUACUCAGUUUUUCCAGAAAAAAAUAAAACCUCUAAUAUAGAGUCAACAUAGCAUCUUUGUAGUCUGGGAAAAUAAAUUUGUUUGCCGAAUGUAAUGGAUAUAAUGACCCACAUGUUGUAGUGUGUUGAUGUGACUUAAACCCAUCAAGUCCUGUAGGUGUUCUUCUUUCUCCUAAAGAAGUGGUCAUCUUGUACGUGAAGGACAAAGUUGUCGUUGGAAGCCUUAACUGCGUUAAGGUAGCCUUCUUUUAACGAACUCUUUAGUAGUAUAUAUAUGAACUAUGACUCAUUGUUAUGUGUGAAAAAAGAGUGAAUGAGCACACUAAAGAAGAGAGACGAAUAAAAAUACAUGUUAUGGAUGACUAAAGUAGUAGUUUUUGAUUACUAUUCAUUAGAUUUCAAUAAGAAAUAUUCUAGGAGUGGUUUUUUAAUCUAUUUUACCUCAAUUCCAUGAUUUGUUAUCGAUUUUGGAAAGAGUUGUAAUUCUUGUGAUUGUUUGUCAUUGCGAUCCCCUACGUCAAGCUGCAUCAAAAAGGCAAAGAGAAACAUGAUCAAAAAGUAGAGAUGUAUUGUAACGCCUACGAAAUUAAUUAACUGGUAAUUAACUCAAAGUGUUACCACUAAACCAUAGUCGAGAUUAAAGCAACGAAAGUAUAUCAUCUACUAAGUAAUCAUCACAUCAAUUGUAAUCAUUACAUAAUAUUUAUCACAGCCACAAAGUAGAUCUAAGUUAUAUCUUAAUACACAAAAUCAAAUUAAAUCAUUAAGCCUGUAAUCUCCACCCGAAGACACUAAUUACCAUGAGUGGUCUAUAAGUCCUCAAGUGAUAUAGGGUCGAUAAUAUCACGUCAAGCAGCCGCAUCUAUCUUGAUAUCUUCAUUGCUCAAAUCCUAGUGCUGGCUAUGUUUUACAGGUGAAAGGAUUGAAACGGUAAGUCCACGACUUAGUAAGUAUAGCACUGUGAAACACAGUUAUGUAGUGAACUCAAUCAUUUUGAAACAUGGGAGUAAAAUUACACAUGCAACCAUAUUUCUCAAUAUGGGAAGGCAGAAAAUCAUGUUGAUACACGAGUAUAGUAUAUAAUUAUAUUACAAGUCAUAACUCUCCUCACUAUAGCCUAUCCAUGCUCUUUCCCCUUCACGGUAAGGUUUGCGUGUCUAAAAAGACAUAUGGUACAACCUCGGUGCCUCUGGUAAAGUACAUAGCUAGUCAUCUCUAGUUGAUCGACCAAGUUCGACCCCGAGUGAUCCACUCAGCUAGUGAUGUCGUAGGGUGUGACCCUCAUCCUGUGGGUGGUUGCGCCAAUUACGAUAACCCUCUGAACCAGGUUAAAACUCGCUCCUCACACAAUUAGCCAUAGGGUCAGUCAAUAUAGUCUAGUAUGCACAAGACACAGAUUUCUUUCACAAUAAGUUUCACAUGAUUUAACAAUGUUGGUCAUGUCACACGAUCACAUUAUCAUUUCCUUUUCCAUGUAUGUAAAAUAGUGUUGAGAGUCCCAACAUUAAAUCAGAAUGCAUUUUAUAAUAGUACAAAGAUGCACAUCUUAUAUCAAAAGAAGCAUGCUAAAAAAUCAUUGUUUAGAGUUUCACAUAAGUUUACUCACAUUGGUCGUAAUAUUCUCCUCAAACUCUCCUUCAAACGCUCCGGUUCCUUCGUCUGCGGGAUAUCUUAUCAUCAGUAGGUUUCCUAAGAGAUAGCCCUAAUCAUAGUACUUAACUCUCAAAUUUUUGCAUUCUAACCCUAAGAGAUAUUCCUAAUCCUAGUACUUAACUCUCAAAUUUCUGCAUUCUGACGAGUACCGAUGGAUCAGUCUCGAGUGUCGAUAGAUCGGUCUUGAGCUGCGUGUUGAUAGAUCGGUUAGCACAGUACUCGACCACUGAUCGAUAAAUGUCAAAUAGUGAUAGAUCAGUACACUGUUCGUUGUCUCCUACCUUCGAAAAAUUCAAUUUUCACCACGUAUAACAAGGUAUUUUGGCAUGAACUGAAAAUUUUUCUUCUUUUCUCAUCCUCUUUUGUGUUAAGACUAGAGAAUUGUGUAAAAGAAGAAUUAUUUCUUAAUCUCAAGGGGUUGGCUCAAGUGGUAAGGGCUUUGAUCUUAGUGGCAUUUUCCAUCAGGUUUAGCGUUUGAAUCUCCUUGGGUGCAAACAAUUCUUUGGAACCAACCUGUCGGAGUAUUACCCGAUCCUACUUUGGAGGGGUUCCUCAUCAUCAAAAAAAGAAAAAUUAUUUCUCGUGUGUGAAAGGUUUUGAACUUGAAUAAUUUCAUUGAUGUUCAGAACAGUAUAUAUAGAGGAUUAGACUACAUGUAAUCCUAUCUAAGUUUGAAAUUCAAAAGUGUAUAACAGAAAAUAUAAUUUAAAAAUACAGAAUAUCUUAUCUCUAAGUUAUCCAUUAGUUAGAGAUUGUUUGAAUGUCUUCAAAUGAAUCUGGAUGUGUUGAUGAAUCUGGACAUGAAGUUGAUGCUGCACGUGUAUGAGAUGAGGUGGUAGAUAUAUCAUUUACAGCCCCCCCCCGCAAGCUGAUGGGGACGGAACAAACCAUAAGCUUGUCACGUAGUAGCUGGAAUCGUGCCGAACUGAGGCCCUUAGUAAAAAUGUCGGCAAGUUGGUCGUGCGUGCUAAUGUAUUUGAUGGAGAUAUCACCAUUAAGCACCUUCUCACGAAUGAAGUGAUAGUCGAUUUCGAUGUGCUUGGUCCUAACAUGAUAAACAGGGUUAGAAGCAAGGGUAAGGGCCCCAAUGUUGUCACACCAAAGACGAGGAGUAGAAAACAAUGGAAUACCAAGAUCCUUAAAGAGCAUUCUCAACCAAAACAGAUCAGUAGUGGCAAGAGCCAUGGCACGGUACUCAACUUCUGUACUAGAACGUGCAACCACUGAUUGUUUCUUGGCUGUCCAAGAAAUGAGAGAAGAGCCCAAAACAAUUCCAAUACUCGUUGUAAAACGUUGAUCAUCAGGAUUACCUGCCCAGUCCGAGUCACAGAAGCUUGAAGUGUUAAAGGGCCUUUGGUGUACCAUAAGCCAUAAUCAAUAGUGCCUUUGAGAUAACGAAGGACCCGUUUUGCCGCUGUCCAAUGUAGAGUAGAAGGAUGAUGUAUGUGUUGGCAUAAUUGGUUGACAGAAAAGGCAAUAUCUUGACGUGUCAAGGUACAAUAUUGUAAAGCUCCCACGGUUUGACGGUAUGUAGUAAUGUCGGUAGGAGAUAACGGGUCACCAUCAGCAUUGGACAAUUUUGAACCAGCAAGACAUGGAGAAGAAUACGGCUUUGCACCCAACAUUUUGGACCUGGAUAGGAGAUCAGAAAUAUACUUUGAUUGUCUGAGAUGCAAUCCUUGAGAGGAUCGGACAGCAUGGAUGCCUAAGAAGAAGUACAGGUUUCCGAGAUCCUAAAGCUUAAAAACCUGUUGAAGUUGAUGAAUAACAGAAGCAAUAUGGGAUGAAGAUGUGCCCGUAAUUAGAAUAUCAUCCACAUAUAUCAAUAAAUAGAGAUGCACAUUUCCAUGAUGAAACAUAAACAAUGAGCUGUCAACAGAAGAGGAGACAAAUCCAAGCUCCAGCAAUGUUUGAGAAAGGCGUGUAAACCAAGCACGUGGUGCUUGUUUAAGGCCAUACAAAGACUUGUGUAACCUGCAAACAUGAGAUGGAAAUUGGGGAUCAAUGAAUCCUCUAGAUUGUUCCAUGUACACUUCUUCAAGCAAGUGUCCAUGGACGAAAGCAUUGGAGACGUCAGGUUGAUGGAUAUUCCAAUUAAACUGGACAGCAAGAGCUAAAAGAACCCGGAUUGUGGAAGGCUUCACCACUGGGCUAAAAGUCUCUGUAAAAUCUACUCCACUCUCUUAAUCAAAACCCUUUGCUACCAACCUAGCUUUAUAACGUUCAAGAGAUCCAUCCUGCUUCUGUUUGAUCUUGUAAACCCAUUUAUUCCGGAUAAUAUUGUGGGUGGAAGGCCGAGGACAUAAGGACCAGGUCUGGUUUGCAAUGAGGGCAUCAAAUUCAUCACCCAUUGCAGCUCUCCAUUGAGGUGACUUGGCUGCUUCGGAGUAGCAUGUAGGUUCUGGUGGAAGAGAAACACUGGCAAGAGCAAAUAGAGGGUGCUUGGUGGAAUAGAAGGAAGUGAAAUUAGGGAAGGAGCGAGUCCUUAACUUACCUGUUUUGGAGCGGGUGAGCAUGGGAUGGGUAGAAACAUGAACUAAAGAGGUCUCGGGUGGGGGUGAAGAAGUAGGUGCUGCAUUAUGAUGUGAAGAAGCCUGUGGAGAAGAAGCUGAAAAAUUAGGAGAAGAAACCUGUAUAUCAGGUGAUAAGUCAAGGGAUGAUGCAGAGAGUGAAGUAUCACUCGGCAGAGGACAAGGUGUGUCGGGUAGUGCAAUAGAGUUGACUGUGGGAAACUGUUGUAACUGGACAGAAGAAGAAGAUGAAAUGUUAGAAAAAUCUGGAAAGGAAACAGGAAUGACUGAACCUGUAGUGGCAGGAGUGAGGACACCUUCAUUUGCAGGAAAUCGGGAUUCGUCAAAAACCACAUGCCUUGACACAUACACCUUGCGAGAUAUAGGAUCUAGACAGCGAUACCCACGUUGAUUAGUGCUAUAACCCAAGAAAAUGCAAUGUUUACUCCUAAACAUUAACUUAUGAGUAGAGUGGGGACAUAAAAGAGGAAAACACGAGCACCCAAAGGAACGAAACAAGGAGUAAUCCAACUCUUUGUUGAAGAGUUUGAAGUAGGGUGAUACAUUGUCAACUGUGGAAGAAGGAAGACGAUUAAUUAUAAAAACGGAUGUAGCAAAAACAUCAACCCAAAAAAGAGAAGACAUAUGAGAUUGGGCAAGUAAAGACAAACCCAUUUCCAUAAUAUGGCGGUGUUUACGCUCAGCCACACCAUUUUGUUGUGGUGUGUGAGGACAAGAAAUUCGAUGAAGGAUGCCAUGAUGGAUUAAAAAGUUCUUAAAUUGAGUGGACAUAUAUUCACCACCACCAUCACAAUGAAAUUGUUUAAUAGAAGUAGAAAAUUGAUUUUCCACGAGAUUUAAAUUGCACAAAAACAGAAAACACAUCAGAUUUAUGAUGGAUGGGAUACAACCAAGUGAAUCUGGAAAAGUCAUCAAUAAAAAGAACAUAAUAACAACCACCACCUAAAGACUUGGUAGAAGAAGACCAAACAUCCGAAUGGAUGAGAUCUAAGGGACACAUAGAGACACGAUGAGAAGAUUGAAAUGGAAGCUGCUUGCUUUUGCCGAGUUGACAAGGUUCAAUUGUUUGACUCCACUGACCGGAAGAGAAAACUGCUACAGAACUUGAGAAACAAUUGGCUGGGAAGCAUGACCAAGGCGGGAAUGCCACACAGCUGCAAAAGUCUUAACACCUAAGAGAGCAGUCAAGGCAUGCUGCUUAUUGACAGAAAAUGAUUUCAGCUGAAUUGGGUAGAGACCACCCUCACUCCGACCUACUAGGAGGGUUAGACCCGUGCGGUUGUCCUUAACAAAAUAUUGAGAACUAGUGAGAAUAAAGAAGCAAUUAUUGUCGAAACAAAAUUGAUUGAUUGAGAGCAGGUUAGCAUAAGCUUGGGAACAGUGCAAGACUUUUGAGAGAUGAACUGAGGAUUGAGGUGUGAAAAACCAUAGAACCAAUGUGUCGUAUUCUCAAAACUGUACCAUUUCCCACUGCUACAUCCUCAGAACCUAAAUACGGCUGCUGUAAGGAUAGAUUCUCCAGGUUGGCAGUGAUAUGCUGAUUUGCAGCACUAUCAGCAUACCAAGGGUCAUUUGCAGGAGCUGAAUUGGAAUCAGCAACCAUGGCAGAUAGCUGGGCAUGAGGAUGACGCCCUUGGAAGGCAUGAUCCAUCCUAUGAAAGCAGUCCAACGCCUGAUGAGAGAAUUUCCCACAAAUUUGACAUGCUGGUCUGGUCGGAGCAGGAUAGGAGGAAGCUGCUGGGCAAAAUUUGGGUGAAGAGGCAGCAGGUUUGGGACCAACCCAACGUUUUCCAGAAGGCUUGGACUUACGGUGUUGAGGAUGAGUGUUCGACUUUGAGGAGAACAUGGCAAAAUGGUGAGAAUCAGUUGUGGUGGCAGCAUUUUGGCUUUCUAGCAAGAGCUCAUAAGAGAGCAAUCCAUCCUGAAAUUUACUGAACGUUAGUGACUUGUAGCGAGAAGCGACAGAAGAGAGGUAACAACCGGGUUAAAGGAUGGAUGAAGUCCACCAACCACAUAAACCGAUGAGUGCAUCAUCAGUUACUGGUUGUCCAACCGCGGCCAGUUGGGCAGAAAAUUGCUUGGCAGUUUCAAGGUAAUCUGUGCAAGACUUGGAAGUUGGCGCUGAAGAUGAGAGAUCCGAGUCUUCAAAUGAGAAGCAAACCAGCUGGAAAGUGAAUUCCAGACUUCCUUAGCACUGGUGACACCAAAAGUGGUAGACAUCACUUUCUCCGAGAGAGAGGCAUUAAGCCAAGAAAGAACAAACUGAUCUUUCUUAGUCCAAAGCAUAAAAUUUGGACUGAGGGUAGCAGUAGCUUACCCUUGAGCAUCCAGAACGUACUUGGGAGGGCACGGCUCAGAACCAUCCACGAAACCCAUCAAGUCGUUUGUCUUCAAAAUAGGAAUCACUUGAUUGGACCAUGUGAUGUAGUUGGGUCCUUCCAAUUUAAAGGUCAUCAAUUGGCCAAUGUUAGGCGGAAUAAAUGGAGGAGGAGAGGCAGAACUGGAUGCCAUGGAUAACAAGAUAGGAAGUGAGCGGAAAUAAUGUGGCAGAGAUCGAAAAGUAGCGUGAGCAAUUAAGGCUCUGAUACCAUGAAAGGUUUUGAACUUGAAUAAUUUCAUUGAUGUUCAGAACAGUAUAUAUAGAGGAUUAGACUACAUGUAAUCCUAUCUAAGUUUGAAAUUCAAAAGUGUAUAAUAGAAAAUAUAAUUAAAAAAUACAGAAUAUCACAUCUCUAAGUUAUCCGUUAGUUAGAGAUUGUUUAAAUGAGUCUUCAAAUGAAUCUGGAUGUGUUGAUGAAUCUGAACAUGAAGUUGAUGCUGCACAUGUAUGAGAUGAGGUGGCAGAUAUAUCAUUUACAGUGUGAGUGAGAUUUGGUUGUCUUGGGUUUUGGAUUUGAGUGAUUUUAUUUACUACAAUUUUAUACUCCCAUCUUUGAUUAGUAAAUUUCUUUGUGAUCGGCUCUGCCUGUGAACAUUCUUUACAUUGAAGGAACUACAUAAAUUUUAGUAUUCUUGCUUGUGAUUAUUUUGUGCUAUUUACUCUAAUCGUGAUCUAUUGCACC